GGCUUGGUCAACCUGGGCCAGCAUUGAUUGUCCGCAGGGUGGAUGAAGGAGCCUUCUCAAUCAGAGUGCAGCCACCGGAUGUUAACCGAGAGAACAGCCUCUGCUUAGGAGACACCCCUUCCUGAUUGCAUCAGACAGGGGCUGGGAUGGCAGGAAUAAUGGGCAAGGACUCAGAAACAGAGAGGGCCAGGUCUCUAAGAUCCUGGCCUCCCCGGGCAGGCUCCCUCUGCUCCCCAGCGUCAAGUCCAAUACAAAGCCCUAUGUGACCUGGCCCCUGCCAUGUGUCUCCAGGCUCAUCUCCUCCAACUCCUUUUUCUACGUUUACGUUCAUUCCCCGUGUCAUGGUGAGUUGUGGCUUUGCGACUUUCCACAUUCUCUAACAUCACUUCUCAGACCCUCCCUGUCCGCCAUGGCCCCAACCACAUCCUGGAGAAGGGCUCAUUGAAUAAAUCUCAGCUCAAGGCCAGAUCCCUCAAGAAGCUUCUCCUGGCUCCUCUGCACCAAUCCCAAAUGAGAUUAAGUCUCUCCUCUCUCCUCGCCUUGCUCUAGGGCCACUGUGGCUCCAAUAUGCUGCUUUUAGAGCUCACCUCAUGCUGUGUGAGGCAUGCAAGCUUUUGUCUCCCCGGGACCUGGGAGGUCAUUGAGAGAAGGGUUCAUGGCUGGGGCUGUCUCUUUCAAGCUCUCAUCCUCAACUGAGUAGAGCUGAGUGCAGAAUUGGGACUCAACAAAUGUUUGUAGAAUUGAAUUGACUGAUCUGCAAGGGAUAACUUGAAGUGUUGUGAUGGGCCACAGUGACUUCUAGAUGCUCAAGAAAGGGUCCAUUUAGCUUCAUAUUGUUCCUGUAUUCCAUUGCUUGGAAAAAUAGCCUCACAUGGGCUGUGUUGCUAAUUCAUAGUUAGCUAGAGUCUUGAGAUUUCCAGAUUGCUGUGUUCUGAUCUCGGCAGACUACAGGAGCUUCCUUCAUAGAGGAUCCAUUCAAGACAAAUUCUAGAUACAUACACAUCCCAAGAUGCUGUGGUUGGGCCUGUGGAAGG
RNAcentral lists this long non-coding RNA (1034 nucleotides) under Vulpes vulpes (red fox). RNAcentral's name for it is "lncRNA (ENSVVUG00000014367.1)". Lineage: Eukaryota; Metazoa; Chordata; Mammalia; Carnivora; Canidae. The record is from RNAcentral.